GUGAGGAAUAUUGGUCAAUGGGCGGGAGCCUGAACCAGCCAAGUCGCGUGAAGGAAGAAGGAUCUAUGGUUCGUAAACUUCUUUUGCAGGGGAAUAAAGUGCGGGACGUGUCCUGUUUUGUAUGUACCCUGAGAAUAAGGAUCGGCUAACUCCGUGCCAGCAGCCGCGGUAAUACGGAGGAUCCGAGCGUUAUCCGGCUUUAUUGGGUUUAAAGGGUGCGUAGGUGGUUUGAUAAGUCAGCGGUGAAAGUUUGCAGCUUAACUGUAAAAAUGCCGUUGAACCUGUCGGACUUGAGUGUAAAUGAGGUAGGCGGAAUGCGUGGUGUAGCGGUGAAAUGCAUAGAUAUCACGCAGAACUCCGAUUGCGAAGGCAGCUUACUAAGCUACAACUGACACUGAAGCACGAAAGCGUGGGGAUCAAACA
Molecule: ribosomal RNA, 423 nt
Filed under: uncultured bacterium
Lineage: Bacteria
Description: bacterial SSU rRNA
Rfam family: Bacterial small subunit ribosomal RNA
Source: RNAcentral